AAUCUCAUUCACAGAAAAUGCUU
RNAcentral lists this small nuclear RNA (23 nucleotides) under Arabidopsis thaliana (thale cress). RNAcentral's name for it is "snRNA_00515". The record is from RNAcentral. Lineage: Eukaryota; Viridiplantae; Streptophyta; Magnoliopsida; Brassicales; Brassicaceae.